AACGAACGCUGGCGGCGUGCCUAACACAUGCAAGUCGAGCGCGAAUGGAGCAAUCCUAGUAGAGCGGCGCACGGGUGCGUAACACGUGGGUAAUCUGCCUGGGAGAUCGGGAUAACCUGCCGAAAGGCAAGCUAAUACCGGAUAAGCCCACGGGGUCCUCGGACCUCGUGGGAAAAAAUGGCCUCUGUAUACAAGCUAUCACUCCCAGAUGAGCCCGCGGCCCAUCAGCUAGUUGGCGGGGUAAUGGCCCACCAAGGCAACGACGGGUAGCUGGUCU
Molecule: ribosomal RNA, 277 nt
Filed under: uncultured bacterium
Lineage: Bacteria
Description: partial 16S ribosomal RNA
Rfam family: Bacterial small subunit ribosomal RNA
Source: RNAcentral